Molecule: long non-coding RNA, 1900 nt
Filed under: Populus tremula
Lineage: Eukaryota; Viridiplantae; Streptophyta; Magnoliopsida; Malpighiales; Salicaceae
Description: long non-coding RNA (PTRE_LNC000943)
Source: RNAcentral
UGUAUAAAUACUGGAACGAGUAACCAAGCUUCUUGAAAUACUAUAAUUUGUGUCAAAGCUCAAACAAUUUCCUUCCUUGUAAAACAUCCAAUUUGAAGAAGUGAACAGUAUUUUUCUUGAAAAGAAAUGUUACAGAAAUUAUCAUACAGCAUAACAUGUGGUAGCACCGGAGCAAAAUCUAUGACAGAACAACUAAACCCUCGGAAAAUCAAGAGGACAACUAAACCCUCGGCAAAUCAAGAGGGGGUGGGGUGGCUACAAUAAGCCACUCUUCCAAUGCCUUCCUAGUAAGGCCAGAAGUCAGCACCGCCAGGCUUCUUUACAAGGAUUUGGUUGUACUCAGGCCUAGACGUGAGAUUCUUGAAGAAGAAAAAAGCAAUGAGAAAGAACAGAACGAAGAAGAUCUCAAAUUCUGCAAAGCGUACAAAGGCAAAGACCUUAUUCAUUAGUCGAGCCAGUGCUGAUUCAUUCCUUUUGCUCCCACUUGUCCUAACUUGCCUGGUAUCAUUCCUGGCCAUCUCUCUAUCUUACUCCUCAACUUCCGUUGUUUUAAUCAAUUAUUAUCUGUGUUGUAGUCAGCAAAGCAGAUGUCAGAACAUAGCUGAUCCAUAGAGGAGGUAUAAGCUUAGAAAAUGAAGACUAUCCAGUUCAAUCAAUCUAAAUGGGGCUCCCAUCUGAUUCAAAUAGAUGAAGCAAAGCAUAACAAAAAAGGAUAAGGCGUGCAAUGGCUACAAAGCGUGAAACAAAGGGUGCUUGCAGGCUAACGCUGGACAGUCAUUUUGAAGUUGCAUCAAGCUCUUAGUAAUUUGAAAAAUUUAAGAUUUACUUAGUUAAUCCAAAACAGCAACAUCAUGUCAUGCUAAAAGAAAGUUCAGUAAGAAUAUCUAUAUCAAGCAUUCUAGAGUAACUAGACAAGAAGCUAGUCUCAUGGGUCUCUCAAACUCCUUAACCUCCGAGCUUCCUUGAGUAUUUGGGUAUAUGAUGCAGCAACUACAUACAGGAACAAAACAAUUGAAAACCUAUCCAACAGAAAUCUAAGCUGAAUGAAUGUUUUUAUUUAAAGCAGCAAUAUCCAAAAAAAAUAAAAUUACUUGAAAGAACCCUAACACACCAAGUGUUACAUGACAAGCAUAUUAUUCAAUAAUAAUAAUUAAAAAAAAAACACAAUAUAACAAACAUACUUGUUCAGCACCUACGAAACAAGAAAAACGGCUCUGCAAAUCUGAACACAUCAGGACCUACUCUUCAAACAAAACUCCUAAAGAGCAGAUCUAGCCCCGAAACAACUGCAAACUACCAUCAUACAGACACAUCCUCGAGUGGAAAAUGCAUCAAAAGAUUAUACCAAUAAGCCUCCCCAAUACCUUGUCUAUCAUUUUCCUCCAAUCCGGUCACAGUAGUAACAUCCAAUACCCGUUUUCUUUUUUUAAUUAAAACCAUUUUAUCCUAAAUUUAGAGGUCGAAUUACUCUAAAUUCUAACAACGGUAGUUCAUUCAUUUUCAUUUGAAAAUCAACACCAAGCAAUCAGCGCCCUCGAAAAGAAGAAAAAAUUUCGAAAGUCAUCGAUUUUCUAUUAAGAUCGAAGAUUUAUAAUUUAAAAAAUUCUAGGAUUCAUAUAGAAUCUUCAAAUUAAAAGAAAAGAUUGUACGAUUGGAAUUAAACGCAUAACCAGACAGAUACACGCGCAUACGAAAAGAUUGAUGAGAUCCACCUACCUACACGCCUAGAGAGAGAGAGAGCGCACCUCUUGUCCAAUCGCGAGGUGCAGCAAUGGAGAAAUUGGAGCGCGAGCGAGCGAUUAAUGUUUCCUUCCUUUAUCUGGAUUUAUACCAAGUGACGACUCCUCCUUUUUCUUUUUUAAUAAUAUAUCAUUUCACGUUGGUUUUUCCUUUGACCGCC